GCCACUAAUUUAACCCAACUAACCAUACAACCUACAUACAAACAAAACAAACCAUUUGACAAAAAAAGUAGAAGCGAUCGAACCUUAAUACAGGAGUUAUAAAUACUAGUACCACAAGGGAACAAUGAAAAAAUAAUGAAAACGCAAGCAAAAUACAGCAAAGAUUAACCCAUGUACCUAUUGCAUCACGAUCUAGCAAGCACUAAACAAACAAGCAGGCACAAAGUUUGUUACCCCGAACUCAAGUGAGCUAUUCUUAGACAACUAAAGACUCAACUCAUCCCUGUAGCAAAAGGGCGAGAAGAUCUUAGAAUAGAGGUGAAAAGCCAACCGAACUUGUUGAUAGCUGGUUGCCUGAGAAAUGAAUAUAAGUUCAACUUUAAACUUCCCACACAUUAACCUAGACAUACCUUAGUUUAAAAUAUAUUCAACGGGGGUUCAGCCCCAUUGAACAGGAAUACAGACCAAAAUAGAGAGAAACUUUCCAAACAAAACAAGUAGGCCUUAAAACAGCCACCUAUAAAAAAAGCGUCACAGCAUAAAUAUUUCAAAUACCCAACCAACCAAAAAACUCCCAUAUUACCAACAGGCCAUCCUAUAAUUAUAUAAGAAAAAUCAUGCUACAACUAGUAACAAGAACACAUCUCCAUGCACAAUCGUAAAUCAGACAUAGAAAAACUACUGAAAAUUAACAAACCCUAUAAAACCCAUUAAUAAACUAUAAACCAAAUUGUUACCCCAACACAGGCGUGCAAAAAGAAAGAUUAAAAGCUGAAAAAGGAACUCGGCAAAAAAUUACCUCAACUGUUUACCAAAAACAUAGCCUUUAGCACUACAAGUAUUAAAGGUAAUGCCUGCCCAGUGAAACAUUUUAACGGCCGCGGUAUUCUAACCGUGCAAAGGUAGCGUAAUCACUUGUCUUCUAAAUAAAGACCAGUAUGAAUGGCUAAAUGAAGGUAAACCUGUCUCUUCAAGCUAAUCAGUGAAACUGAUCUCCCAGUACAAAAGCUGGGAUAUACACAUAAGACGAGAAGACCCUGUGGAGCUUCAAAUUUAAACCAAAAUAACCACACCAAUAACCCCAUGGUCUACAAUUUUAAGUUGGGGCGACUUCGGAAAAAACCAAAACUUCCGAGAACAUAGGUAAACCACUUUAAUUAAGGUUAACCAACCAAAACACAUAUAGACCCAGUACCACUGAGCAACGAACCAAGUUACCCCAGGGAUAACAGCGCUAUCUUCUUUAAGAGUCCCUAUCAACAAGAAGGUUUACGACCUCGAUGUUGGAUCAGGACACCCAAAUAGUGCAGCCGCUAUUAAAGGUUCGUUUGUUCAACGAUUAACAGUCCUACGUGAUCUGAGUUCAGACCGGAGCAAUCCAGGUCGGUUUCUAUCUAUACAGUUGUUCUCUUCAGUACGAAAGGACCAAGAAAACAGGACCCAUGCAAACUGCACGUCCUAAACAAAAAAUUAAACUAAAAUAAAAUUUUCAAUAACCAAACCACCCCAAGAUACAGGGGUUA
This 1523-nucleotide ribosomal RNA is filed under the name Anolis punctatus (spotted anole). RNAcentral describes it as "16S ribosomal RNA". It matches the Rfam family "Bacterial large subunit ribosomal RNA". Lineage: Eukaryota; Metazoa; Chordata; Lepidosauria; Squamata; Anolidae. The record is from RNAcentral.